AUUGAACGCUGGCGGCAUGCCUUACACAUGCAAGUCGAACGGCAGCACGGGAGCAAUCCUGGUGGCGAGUGGCGAACGGGUGAGUAGAGUAUCGGAACGUGCCCAGUCGUGGGGGAUAACGUAGCGAAAGUUACGCUAAUACCGCAUACGAUCUAUGGAUGAAAGCGGGGGAUCGCAAGACCUCGCGCGAUUGGAGCGGCCGAUAUCAGAUUAGGUAGUUGGUGGGGUAAAGGCUCACCAAGCCGACGAUCUGUAGCUGGUCUGAGAGGACGACCAGCCACACUGGGACUGAGACACGGCCCAGACUCCUACGGGAGGCAGCAGUGGGGAAUUUUGGACAAUGGGCGAAAGCCUGAUCCAGCCAUUCCGCGUGCAGGAUGAAGGCCUUCGGGUUGUAAACUGCUUUUGUACGGAACGAAAAGGUUUGGGCUAAUAAGCUGAGCUCAUGACGGUACCGUAAGAAUAAGCACCGGCUAACUACGUGCCAGCCGCCGCCGUAA
This 500-nucleotide ribosomal RNA is filed under the name uncultured bacterium. Its description in RNAcentral is "partial 16S ribosomal RNA". It matches the Rfam family "Bacterial small subunit ribosomal RNA", at positions 30 to 523 of the family's 1533-position model. The record is from RNAcentral.